This 253-nucleotide ribosomal RNA is filed under the name uncultured bacterium. RNAcentral describes it as "partial 16S ribosomal RNA". It matches the Rfam family "Bacterial small subunit ribosomal RNA", at positions 524 to 776 of the family's 1533-position model. The record is from RNAcentral.
UACAGGGGGUGCAAACGUUGCUCGGAAUCAUUGGGCGUAAAGCGCACGUAGGCGGUUCGUUAUGUCGGAUGUGAAAGCCCUUGGCUUAACCGAGGAAGUGCAUCCGAAACUGGCGAGCUAGAGUACUAAAGAGGAUCGCGGAAUUCCCGGUGUAGAGGUGAAAUUCGUAGAUAUCGGGAGGAACACCGGUGCCGAAGGCGGCGAUCUGGGUAGAUACUGACGCUGAGGUGCGAAAGCGUGGGGAGCAAACAGG